AAACUGCGAUAAGUAGCGUGAAUUGCAGACGCUUUGAACGUUAAACUUUCGAACGCACAUUGCGCCGUAGGAGUCCUACCCUACGGCACAUCUGGUUGAGGGUCGUGAUCAAAAACAGCCAGCCAGUUGCUGUUAAUGUUAAACCAAUUGGCGAAUCACUAGUUCGGCUUUCAGUACUCUAGUCGAAAGUGGUUUGUCAUCAUGAAACAGAGGACGUCUUCAGCUCUCUUCCUCUUCGGGGGGAGAGGGUUGGACGCCUACCACACGGAUGGGUUAUCGGCUGUAGGCUUAUACCUGCAGUCCCUUGCGCACCAUACUACGUACAUUAGCGUAAGUGCCUUGGGGCUUUGUGGGUGCAGCACGAUUUUUGCAUACGUGCCUGGUUCUUGAAGGCGAUUCU
Molecule: unclassified non-coding RNA, 400 nt
Filed under: uncultured fungus
Lineage: Eukaryota; Fungi
Description: sequence contains ITS1
Rfam family: 5.8S ribosomal RNA (bases 1-105)
Source: RNAcentral